RNAcentral lists this long non-coding RNA (265 nucleotides) under Brassica napus (rape). RNAcentral describes it as "long non-coding RNA (BNAP_LNC005738)". Lineage: Eukaryota; Viridiplantae; Streptophyta; Magnoliopsida; Brassicales; Brassicaceae. The record is from RNAcentral.
UUAUGUUUUUUUUUAUUAAACUCAUGAAAUUAUAUUUUAAGAAGCCCAUGGACACCCAUUGUCCAUUUGGUCUUCGCCCAAUUGGACCGUGUACCAAUUGGUCUUUUGUCCAGUUGGACCAUUUAUUAAUUGGGCAUGUCCAUAGCCCGCCCAAAAUGAAUUGGACUGGGCUAGCCCAAUGUCAGCCCGCCCAGUUGACACCUCUAAUUAUUUGCAUCACCUUCUCCACUUCCGCAUCUUUCACAUAACACAGUGUAUGAUUGGA